UACGAGGGGUGCAAGCGUUGCUCGGAAUUAUUGGGCGUAAAGGGUAGGUAGGUGGUCUCGUUUGUCUGGGGUGAAAGCCUUGAGCUUAACUCAAGAAGUGCCCCAGAAACGGCGAGACUGGAGUCCUGGAGAGGGUCGUGGAAUUCCCGGUGUAGCGGUGAAAUGCGUAGAGAUCGGGAGGAACACCAGAGGCGAAGGCGGCGACCUGGACAGGUACUGACACUCAACUACGAAAGCGUGGGGAGCAAACAGG
RNAcentral lists this ribosomal RNA (253 nucleotides) under uncultured bacterium. Its description in RNAcentral is "partial 16S ribosomal RNA". It matches the Rfam family "Bacterial small subunit ribosomal RNA", at positions 524 to 776 of the family's 1533-position model. The record is from RNAcentral.